Tachyglossus aculeatus (Australian echidna) is the source of this 594-nucleotide non-coding RNA. The record is from the annotation of a RefSeq genome assembly. NCBI's taxonomy places the organism in Eukaryota, Metazoa, Chordata, Mammalia, Monotremata, Tachyglossidae.
AUGCUUGGGUCUGUCACCCUCUUUCUUGCUGCCCUGCUCCCUGUGGGCCAGACAGCCCUCACCCUAGAACAGCCCAUGCUUACCAUUACCAGAAAGACCAGGAGCACUGCAACGUUUCUCUGCAAGUUCUCUGAGACAAAGAUCAUGUACAUCCACUGGUAUCGCCAGCAGCCUGGGAAGGCUCCCCGGCGCCUGCUCUACUAUAAACUGGCCGACUCACAACCCAAACUGGAUACAGGAUUCAACUCUAACAAAAUCCAUGCCUACAAGAUUAAUGAUCAAAGCUGUAGCCUGGAAGUUCAGAAGCUGGACGUUAGUGAUGCCGGCACCUAUUACUGUGCCAGCUGGGACUCCACGAAUUGGGAUUUACCUCAGACAAAAUCUACGCUUAUAAGACCAAAGAUCAAUGUUGAACAUUGGUGGUCGAGAAACUCGGUGUGCGUGAUGCUGGCAACUAUUGCUGUGCCAGCUGGAACUCCAAGGAAGCUAUAUGGGUUCAAGUCUCUCUUGGUGCCCCCUGCCCACAUGCCCAGGGGUCUAGGCACCAAUACACUCAUCCUGGCUUUGAACGAAGACGACCAGAUUCCAGCCUGA